Molecule: non-coding RNA, 29 nt
Filed under: Mus musculus (house mouse)
Lineage: Eukaryota; Metazoa; Chordata; Mammalia; Rodentia; Muridae
Source: RNAcentral
UACUAUCUAAAAUGGCUUGUCCCUGGGCA